Molecule: ribosomal RNA, 601 nt
Filed under: Cordilura pubera
Lineage: Eukaryota; Metazoa; Arthropoda; Insecta; Diptera; Scathophagidae
Description: partial 12S ribosomal RNA
Source: RNAcentral
CCAUUAUUUCAAUUUUCUUUCACAAUACUAUUACACUAUAAUUAAAAUUAUUUUUUCUUUAUUAAAUACUAAAACAAUCCUUUAUAUAAUUAUUUUUAAUAAUUUAAAUUUAAAAAAAAAUGAAUUAAUAAAUAAAAUAUAAUCAACCUAUAUUGAUUUGCACAAAAAUCUUUUCAAUGUAAAUGAAAUACUUUACUUAAUAAGCUUUAAAUUGCAUUCUAGAAACACUUUCCAGUACAUCUACUAUGUUACGACUUAUCUUACCUUAAUAAUAAGAGUGACGGGCGAUGUGUACAUAUUUUAGAGCUAAAAUCAAAUUAUUAAUCUUUAUAAUUUUACUAUCAAAUCCACCUUCAAUAAACAUUUCAAAUUUAUAUUCAUAUAAAUAAUUUUAUUGUAACCCAUAUCUACUUAAACAUAAGCUACACCUUGAUCUGAUAUAUUUUCUAUUUUAAAAUUAUGAAAAUUAACCUUCUUAUAAAAUAUUCUAAUAACAACGGUAUAUAAACUGAUAACUAAUUUAAGUAAGGUCCAUCGUGGAUUAUCGAUUACAGAACAGGUUCCUCUGAAUAGACUAAAAUACCGCCGAAUUUUUUAAGUU